Molecule: ribosomal RNA, 319 nt
Filed under: Lamproderma aeneum
Lineage: Eukaryota; Evosea; Eumycetozoa; Stemonitida; Stemonitidae
Description: bacterial SSU rRNA
Rfam family: Eukaryotic small subunit ribosomal RNA
Source: RNAcentral
UCUGAAUCUGCGAACGGCUCCGCAAACCAGUUGUAAACUAUAGCAAGCAAGCCCGGGAUCGGCCUUCACGGGCUGGUUCCGGGUGAUAUGGAUAACCCUGGUAAUUCUGAGGCUAAUACAUGACCGUAAAACCUAGCUGACCGGCUUCGGCUGGGAUGCUGGGGGACGUGUGAUUUGGGCUUGGUAACACCGGGAAGGGGCGCACGUCUAGACCACGCUAUAAAGGUCGGUUUCCCCUUCGGGGGGGGCUGUCCCAGUGGCUCUUGCUGUGUGCUUCUGACCUAUCAACUAGACGGCAGCGUAAGGGACAUGCUAUGGU